Molecule: antisense RNA, 75 nt
Filed under: Labedaea rhizosphaerae
Lineage: Bacteria; Bacillati; Actinomycetota; Actinomycetes; Pseudonocardiales; Pseudonocardiaceae
Description: Labedella sp. RS-49 ASpks TB sRNA
Rfam family: ASpks TB sRNA
Source: Rfam by way of RNAcentral
CUUCAGCGAGCCCAGCAGCAGCGGGCGGCCCUCGGCCCGGCCCUGGCCGUAGGUGGCCAGCAACGCCUGGGCCUC